This is a long non-coding RNA of Musa acuminata AAA Group (dessert banana), 13481 nucleotides long. RefSeq lists it as uncharacterized. The record is from RefSeq and is a predicted model, not a curated record. The transcript has 2 exons. Lineage: Eukaryota; Viridiplantae; Streptophyta; Magnoliopsida; Zingiberales; Musaceae.
UCUCAUGUUCUUAGGGUUUCAAAUUUCGUUGUCCACAAGCUGGCUAAUAUUCUUAGUGGUGGGAUGUUGCCACCGAUUUUUGUAGCUGGGCUAAUCUUCUGAACGCAUGAUCUGUAAUUCUCUUUCAGAAGACCCAAAAAAAAAGGUCUUGGCACGUCGACUUCCGGCCGCGGUAUGGCCGGCGACGAGGAAGCGAAGCCGGAGACGCGUUGGUUUCGACGGUGCUCUCCCCAGGUGCAGCUCGACAAGCUCAGGGUAUUCCCUAACUCUGUUGCUCCUUGCGUCGUGUUAAUUUCUCUAAUUCGUGCCAAGAAUCAUCCCAUGACAUCUCCUCGUGAAGACUUGUGUGAAAUUGGAAGGAUCUACUUGCUAGGCGGAUCUCAAGAUAGCCCUAUGUUUUUAGUUCCGUCAAGACUUCAAUUUUGUUCUCUGAUUAGCACAUGUAGUAGGAAUUGCACAAGUAGCGUUUGCAACUCAAAGCACAGGCAAAGGAGAGAACAAAAUUGAAAGGGAGCACACAGAUGAGUGUAAAGACAUGUGAGGAGACACCUGAUGUGGAGAAUACAGAUACUUCGGUCACUACUGUUGGAGGCAGUUCAAGUUCUCCGACAUCAAAAGAAAAAAAGAAAAAGGCUUGCUUGACAUGUUCUCCUAUAAUUUUAGAAUUUCGGAUUAACUCUUUCCUUCUCUUGCAUUACACAUUCCACCUUCUACAAAGCACAUUAUAGUGUAGGGUAUUGCUGUUUCACUUGUUAUUGCUGUUUACUUGCAUUUGUAUGUGGCCCAAUGCCCAUAAGUUUUCAUUCCUUAUUUGAGAUGUAGGGUAUUUCUCCAGUUGUCUUGUUUUAUGUAUUAAAGAUUCCUAAUUUUUUUUACAAAUCUGUAAUUAGACAUAUCUUUUUUUUUGUCUAAAUGUAAAAUAUAUUGUAAAACAGUUUAGAAGAAAUCAUAUCUGGCAUCUCCCUUUUUAACAAUGUUAUGAAAACGUUGUUCCUCAUAGAAAUUUACAAUAUGAUUCAAACUGCCAACUAUAAAUUCGACACCUUAUCCUGUGGUAAUUCUUUUGCGAGUCAUAAUGUUCUUUUUACACCUUUUAUGAGGUUAAGCCUUGGUGCCAUUAGGUUGAGCCAGAGUUUAAGUCAAAAGAAAUAACACUUUACCUUGUUGGGUAAGAUUGCAUAUGUUGAGCCUCAAAUGACAUAUUGAUGGAAGCCAUAUAUAGUGGAUGAUUCUACUUUUAGUAUUUCUUAUAUGAUUUUUAGUUAAUUUUUGGUAACCUUUGACCAGUCAUGGUUUUCUCUAUGACAUGACAAAAGCAUGAUGUGGUAUAUGUUUUUCCCCCUUUCAAAAUUUUAACUAAAAGGUAACCUUUUUAUCUGUAACUUUCAUAGAAUCCUAAAAGAAUUCUACUCUUUCUUUCUCAUGCCCGAGAAAGAAAAAGUUGUCCUCUAUCAUCGAUCCUUGUAGCACUAUAAUAAUCAUCGUGUGCUUUAUACUACCUCAAUAAUAUAUUUUUAAUCUCUUCUCUAAUUAAAUUAUGCCACUCAAUGUAUUAUUUUCGUAUACUAUAUGACAUAUUAUUUUUGCAUUUAUAUCUUACUCAUGUGAUAAAAAGUUCUCUUUCCUUAAAGAUUAAUAGGUACUUAGAGUCUCUUGAAGUACUUCUUUCCAAGUUGUCAUUUUGAGUACCAGAAUCGUUUCGGUGAUCUAGUUGGACCGACAUUGUAACACUCCAAUUAGUCCUACAUUGAAAGUGGGCAAGAUUAAGAUUACUUUAUAAGGGCCUGAUUAGUGUAUUAUUAUCAACUUUAGUUUGAGCAUAUUGACCAAUGAUUUGGGUCAAACGAAGUUGAUAGACUAGUUAGUCCAUCAGGCCCGGGUCAUGACAUUUAGUAUCAGAGCUAACUUAGUAUUUAAGCAUGGUGAGAGGGCUCGCACUAUGUUUGAUUUGAUCUAAAUGAUGUUGGGCCUUGACAAGGACAUCAAGCCCUUGAGUGGGUAAAAUUGUAAUAUCCCGAUUAGUCCCACAUCAGAAGUGGAGAAGACUAAGAUUGGUUUAUAAGAUUUGGGUUAAAUGAAAUUAAUGGUACCGCCUAGUGUCAAUGCUGCAGCUAGUGGUACUGCUAGUACCCGGAAGACCCGAGAUGUGACUAGUUUUAGCUCCAAGUUUGAAUCCAUUUGGAGCCUAUAAAUACCCCUCUUAUCCCUGGUUAACAUACAAAAGCACAAAGAACUUAAAAGUGAGAAAACUUCUAAACAAGGACAAACUUCUAAACAAGGUGUUUGAUAUAAUGCUUAUGUAUGUCCGUUGUCUUUUGGCAUGUUCAUGCCUUGUACAGAAUGUAAAGGGGCGGCCGAAGGCUUAAUAGUCCCAUUUUAGUUGGGUUGGUGGCCUCUUUAGACUUGUAAAUAAAGGUUGUGUCGUGUGGACACGUUCGAGAGCUUUUCGGUCUGUAAUGGACCAUUUUACCCUUUGUUGUGCAACUAUUCAGAGCUUGUAAAGUCUGUUUGUAAUUUGCAUUGUCUAUGAAGUGUUUUUCGGACAUGUUUGCUUGUGGAUCCCGAUUGAGGCGUUCUCUUUAACCCGUUCUCUCUUUUGUUGGUCCUAAGGGACAAUGGGAGGCUUCGGGGAGGCUGACCUUUGCGAACGGACGCGCGAGGGUGCCGCACGCCUUAGGCAAAACCAGCUAAGGUCGUGACAUUGUGGUAUCAGAGCGGGACAAGUACUCAUAGAAACACUUGACAUGCAAACGUGGGGGACCUAGCGGGGCUGCGUUGAGGGCAGUCAGCACACGCGCGACCGUUUGAGGGAAAACGGGCAUGGAGAUGUAGGGAAAAGAGUCGCUCAGAGGAGCGGGCAUCUGAGAUUGGCAUUCAGAGGAAUGGCCAACCCUUCGCGCAAGAGGCACCACGAGAACAGGCAAGCUUGGAAGAAUUUGGAGCGCACAAAGGUUGGGAUGGCUGAGUUUGAGCUACGGCUCAACGUUGACAACUUUACUUGAUGGUGCUCAAGGCAAGCGAGGCGCUUGGCAAAGGACGAGACCAUGCAAAGUGGAAUGAGUUGCUCAGCGACCGAAAGAGUUGUGCAAAGCUCACAGAGGUGAGGGGAAUUGCUAACUCGAAGAAUUCGGUACUCAUGCAUGGGCUUGUAUGCGGACGAUGGAUUGUUCGUGGCCAUCCCAAGGCGGUCGAGACUCGGCGCCAUGGAGCAUUGAAACUUUCUCUUCGACAUGCGAAGGAUACGUCCGGAGGAGGCUGAAGUGUGCAACGAGUUCAGCAUGUUGCUAGGCCUUGAGGGGUGCAGCGGUGGCUGUAUUGACGUGGAGGCGCAAUCUAGUAAGUGCGUUUGCAAGAGGCAGAACAAUGCACAGUUUGUUCAGCAGAUCGGAGUAGUCCAAGGGGAUGGUGGUCUCCGAAACGAAGAGAGAUGUUGCUCCAACGGGACAGUUAUCCAGGAGGGAUAAGUCUCAGCUCUCCAGAGGGAGAAUCAUGUGAGACGGACUUCACAUGUUGAGGAGGAGUACCUCACAAACAACAACUCCACGAAGCUCGAUGGACUGAGCAAGCGGCGAGGAGUCGUCGCAUGAUCUCGCUUGAGAGAAUGCAUUGGUGGAUGCAUUGCGAGAUCAAGUGGGGGAGCGACCCAAAGCAACUCAAAUGGAGGCACACUUGGAGUCGAUAUGGAGAUCGGACUCAAGGGAGGGCUGACCCGUGGAAUGGUGGGCGCGAGGGCCACCAUCGACUCAAUGCAGAAACGAGGAGCGGAGCAACUUGGGUGUAACUUGGCGAAGUACCCAAGCCGCAUGAAGGGAGCCAGCAUAGAAGUUGGAACAUGGAGCAGAGGCACAGCGCUUUCCCUAGACAGAGGUCAAGGACAUGAACUCUUGCAGAGGCAGGAGUAGAAUCAUGCUGUUCCCUGGGUCCUUCAUUCUGACAGAGCGGACUCAUCUUGCAUGGUGCCAAAGACGAAGGGAGCUUCGGGGCACAUGCACCUUAUCUCGGAGGAGCAUUCGAUGGAGGAACUAAGGCGACUCAAUUUGCGGAGGCGAAGUUGGGUACAGAAGGUCUUAGCACGGGGCAAGAGGACGCAGAGGCGGGUACUCUUGAAGAAUAUGCCACAGUGUUGCCAUUCGAGUUGCUAUGAAGGAAGCGGUGCGCAGUGGAGAUUGUGCUGGUAGGGGCAGAGGCCCAGGAUCCAGACAAUGGUGCACAAAUUACAUUGAAGUCGGUGGACUUCGGGAGCUACUAGGCGACGGACUGUCCUAGAGCGGUGCUUCAUCUAGGUGUGACCCAAGAGUGGGUGGAUGAAGGUCGAUUGCCAAAGGAGCGAACAAAAUCGAAGGUGGAGGAGACCCUGCGAUGUAUUGGCAGAGGCCACACAUGGAGGGUUCACAAUUCGAGUUUAUUCCACAAGGAUCAGAAUGCAAUGGAGAUGUCACCAGGAGGCGACAUGGUGCAGCGGAUCGUGGUGGAACAGUUCGUGGCAAUGCGACACACACGACAUAGUCCCGUGAGGGAUGAGAUCAUAUGGAGGUAUGAUCGGGAGCUACUGGGAGCUUCGCUUUGGUGAACAACACGACGGCAAGAAGGGCUAUGGAUUCAAGGAGUGAAGGCCAUGGUACCGCAGAGGCGGGUCUUCCGGGCGUGCACCGAAUUUUGCAUCGGAUGAAAACCUUGGUCAUCAGCAUAUGGGGGCUGGGUUCCACCAAGGGAAAAGUUCGAAUGCAAGUACCAGUGAGUCCCAUGAGAGGGACUUGAUCAUGCAGAGGUAUGAUCGAAGCAGCUGGAGAGUUGGACUGCUCCAGAGCUCAUAUUCGCUUAAGGGAGCCCGACAAGUCAGAGGACAAGGUCGAGUAAGCGAACGUUGCUACCAAGGAAGCUAAGGAGAACAGAAUCGGUGCAAACCCUACAAUGUGAUGGCAGAGGCCAUGCAUGGGAGUUGCAGUCUGUCUUUCCAUCGACCAAACAGACUGCUUGGAGAAUACAGAGGUGUUGAAGCAGGAGGUCGAAAGGGGCGAGGAAGCGACGACGAGUCCAGAGGGACUUAGCUACCCAAAAUCAAGCAUCAGUUAGAAUGGAGGUGGACUCAGAGGAGUGCCACGGAGACAUCUCUACUGAUUGUGAAGGAAAGGGAUACAGAGGCGAGGCGACGGAUAGUAGGGCCAUGGGCAUGGCAGCGCCAUGGUACCGCAGAGGCGGGACUUCCGUGCAAGUCAUUGAUCCCUUGCUCUCACGGAGGGAGAGCGCUUGGUCGUGAAAGGGGCCGAGGAGGUGGAGCAUGCAGAGGCAAUCUCCAAGUACCGAGACAAGGCUGAAGGGCAGAGGCCAAGAAACUUCGUAAGACCGGUGUCAACAAGUUUCUCAUCAAGAUAGCCGUAAGUGAAGGACUUCGGGUCAUGCAAGAGUGCACGACCAAGGAACGAAGCAGGCAGUACGCGGUGCUGUACCUUUGCUACUCAGUGGAGUAGGCGGCAGGGUUGAUGGAGAAGACGGUACAAUCCCAGAGGCGACCUCAUCUAUCAGAGAAUUACUCCAAGUUGGGGUGAAAACUUCCUGCAUUCCAGAAGUUCAAUGGCAUUGAGAAGGUGAAUCACAGUAGCUAACUCAACGCAAGGAGUGCAAACACUUCAAGUGCUUCAGAAGUGUGAGCAAAGAGCAGGCGAAGGCCAGUAACCAGCUCGAUGCAUGAAGUACAACCUCGAGGAGGCGGGCGAAGUCAAGUAACCUUUGCCUUCUCAACUCUUAAGAGAAUGGGCGAAACCGAGUACCCCAAUUCUCUUAUCUAUCCAGCAGAGGAGCUCUGCACAAGUUCAAAGACCCUUCGAAGAGAAUGGAAGAUAAUAGUUGUCAAAUCCUCACCAACGGUGAUCAGUGCUACUGAGAGUAGAUUGUCCGCCUCAUUUCCCAACGAAAUGCCAAUCGAAAGCGGAAGUGAUGCGAACCUACUUGGAUGUGACAACUAAGUGAAAGAAGAGUCAAUGAGCAGAUUUUGUGGAGGAAGGACCCAAAACUUCAGAAGUUUGCGAGGCGAUGCUCGUUAAAGCUCCAACAAGCAUCCACCCAGUUCAAGCAGCAUGUGGAAAUUUUGAGAGACUGGCGCACUAAGGAUGGUCUUUUCCUUCAUUUGGUGGAUCCGCAGGAAUCAACGAGGAUCAAUACAACUCAGCCAACCCCACACCAGAGUCAGAGUCAUUGGCGAGUUGAAGCAGCAUGGCGGAUCAAAGGUUCGACUACUCAGAAACAGCAGCGGAGAGCAGCUGGGAGCCAGGAGGCGCAUUGCAGCUGGAGCGGAAGAUUGAAGACUCAGCAAAGGCGAAGAGUUGUAGUGUUCACAAAGGCUUCGACGAGGACGUCGAAGGGAUAAGUGGGGGAGAAUGUAACGGACAAACUUCUAAACAAGAUGUUGGAUGUAAUGCUUAUGUCUGUCCGUUGUCUUUUGGCAUGUUCAUGCCUUGUACAGAAUGUAAAGGGGCGGCCGAAGGCUUAAUAGUCCCAUUUUAGUUGGGUUGGUGGCCUCUUUAGGUUUGUAAAUAAAGGUUGUGUCGUGUGGACACGUUCGAGAGCUUUUCGGUCUGUAAUGGACCAUUUUACCCUUUGUUGUGCAACUAUUCAGAGCUUGUAAAGUCUGUUUGUAAUUUGCAUUGUCUAUGAAGUGUUUUUCGGACAUGUUUGCUUGUGGAUCCCGAUUGAGGCGUUCUCUUUAACCCGUUCUCUCUUUUGUUGGUCCUAAGGGACAAUGGGAGGCUUCGAGGAGACUGACCUUUGCGGACGGACGCGCGAGGGUGCCGCACGCCUUAGGCAAAACCAGCUAAGGUCGUGACAGCCUGGUACAAGCGGUACAUACCGGUCCGAUGAUAUAUCGGUACGCGGACCGCUCGCUACUAGAUGGAAGGUGCUACAGUGCUACACUGUAGCAUUGCUAUAGUGCUACAGUAAGGGGAAGAAAUAUUUAAAACCGCUCGGUAACAGUGAUACAGUGCUCCAACGGUCAAAUUGACCGUUGGAACCCUUUCUCAUGGUAUUUAAACCCUUCUUCUCUCCUAUUUCACUUCAUUACAUUCUCAUACUCUAUUAAACUAUCUCAAAUUCUUUUUUUCUCAUAUUUGUGCACUCCUAAACUCUACAAAACAAUGAUUUGUGAAUUGAAUCGAGGCUAUUUUGGGAAGAUUAAGAGGAAGAACUUUCUAAUUAAGAUGUAUGUUUACAUAAGGACAAUUCGUAAUGGACUGAAAUACGAACAUUGUACAAGAUAUUCUUCAAAGCUCGAAAAAGUUAUGUGAUACUAUUCUUAUCUAAUUUACAUUGAUUUUGCUAAACUUAUUCUAUUAUUAUAUUUAUUUCUAACUUAAAAACCCUAUCCUAACUUUUUUUUUUUAGUUUCAGGUAUUUUCGGAGGGUUAUACACCUAAAUUAGGUGUAUCGCUUGGUACGCUCUGGCGUACCGCUUGGUACGCUCUGGCAUACCGCUCGGUACAUGGUACCGUACCAUACCGAGUCAAUCUCGAAACACUAGUACGAUACGGUAUUGCAUACCUUGCCAAUAAGUACAUAACCUUACACCAAUAAACACAGCCCUUAGGUAACCUCGUUGUGAUGCCAAGUUCUGAGUGGAUUCUUGCUCUCCUAUUAGUUGAUCUCUUGUUGUUUUCUUUCAUUUUUUUUUUUCUGUCCUUUUGCUAGAAAAAGGUACAAAGAUGUUAGUCCUUCAUUCAUUGACCCAACAACAACAAUUUGAGUUCUUAUCACUACGUUUUGAGAACACACCUCAAGGAUUCAGGAUCUACAGUUUAAAAUGGUCAAAAAGACUUAGGGUGAUUUUAGUGGGAUAUCAGAGCUAUUUAGUCAAAUUCAUCUUGAAUUUGGUUUAUGGCUUGUUGUUUUGUUGAUUAGAAGAGUUAGCAUGUACAGCUUCUUUUGGACCAGUAUUUAAUCUUAACCUAAUAUGCAGUCAAAUAUAUAAUUAAGGAUGAUUAAACAGAUGUUCAAACAUUUUUCUGGUGGUGGCUGAUUGGGGAAGAUGAUGAUCUUUACAAACUUGACAUAACAUAAGUUUAUGGAACUUCAAAGCCACUGAAGAACACAUGAUUUGGUGUAAUUGAUCAAAAGGUCUGAGAGUGAAUGGAGAUGUUGAACUCCCAACACACAAUGCUUGUGCUAUAGAGUGAAGUUAAUUUUAAACGUGCAAAUUAUAAUAGCCUUUGGGUCAUCUUAAUUGUUGCCAGGACUUGAACAGCAAUAGGCAAACAUCUCAAAUAUCAUGUUCAACAUUUUUUCUGCAAUUGAAUGUCAUGAUAAUUUUUAAAUUUAUCUGCGAAAGAACAUCUAUGAGGCUAAAUUUAAGAAUUUAUCAUCUUUAUAUCAAAGAUAGUAUGGUUGACAACUUUCAAGCUAUAUUGUCUCGAUCAAUUUUGAGAAGUUGGGACACAAGGUUUAGACAUGCAUUAUUUGAAAAAACUAGGUUUUGAACUUUGUUGAAAAAUACUGCAUAUAUAAGAAGUAUGAUGGAUAUAAUGUGCUUCUUAUAUUGUUUGUAGUCAUAGGAAAGUUGUUUUCCGUUUAACUUGGGUUGAAUAAUUUCUCUAUGAAAGUUUCAGAUACAAGUUUAUCAAUCUGGCUUCUCUGUUUUUCCAUGAUGUGUUUUUCAUGAUUAGAGCCACAUUUAGUGAGCACCAUCAUCAUUACUAUGGUAUCCAAGCCUUGUCCCUAAAAAAGGGGUAAAAAGUAAUAAUAUAAGUUGGGAAGGCUAAUCACGUGGCACAAUAGAUGAUAUCCCAUCUACAUAAAAGAAUGACCAAGUAAAACAAAGACGCGAGCAAGGUUCGCCUUACCAUACCGUACCGGCGUUUUGACCUGGGCUCAGUACGGUAUGGUACGAUAUACCGAGCGAUACACCUGAUUUCACAGAUUUAACCCUCCGAAAAUACCUGAAAAUUAAAAAAAAAGUUAGGAUAGGGUUUUCAAGUUACAAAUAAAUAUAGUAAUAGUAUAAGUUUAGCAAAAUCAAUGUAAAUUAGGUAAGAAUAGUAUCGCAUAUCUUUUUCGGGCUUUGAGGUAGUCUUGUUCGAGGUUCGUAUUUCAGCCCGUUAUAGAUUGAAAUAUCUACAGAAAAAUCAGUUGAAUUGUUAGACUAUUUUGUUACAAUAUAAACUCUAAAAUUCAAAUGAAUUAAAUAAUCACAUAUGUAGAUAUACCUUAUUGUUGAUUCUAUCACCAAAACGAACGACGGGUCUCCACGGAUGGUGGAUCGGGGUCCUCGAUCCGAUACAUCUGCAUAUCAAUAUGAUACGUUUGUUGGACCCAAUCAUGAAAUUGAUCCCAUAACAUAGUGUAUUGAUACACCGUAUGUCAUUGAUGCAUCAAUGUGGUGCUGAUCGUAGACUGAUCGUCAUGAAUCAUAUUUGUUCGAGGCAGCUCUUGAGGCAUAUAUUGGUGAAUGUCAAAACUUCUACUUUCGCUACUGAUCUGCUGUUCUGUAUCAUAUUGUUGCUCAGAGAAGGAUGACCAACUAUCACCAUACUGUUGUUGCCCGUAUGAUUUUCCAUAAUACGAUGGUUGUGAAUACGAUGAGCCUCUUUCUAUGUCUAUAUCAUGUAUGCUAUGUCGCAUUUGUUCAUAUUCAUCCACUGCCUUCCCCUUCCCCUUCCCCUUCCGCGUAUAAACUUGACCAGUACCUUGUCGAGUUCCAUGAUCUGAAUCUUGAGUGGCAUGUGUAAAAUAUUGCUCCUCAGUCUAUUCACCACCCUGAAGUUGUGUAGACGAGACCAACGACUGCCCGACAUCACCGCCAUCAUCUGUCGAGGCACUACUGUCCGUGUUGCUGUCAUGUCUCUAGACUGAGCGAGAAAGAGAAUGUGAUUGUGAAGGUGUCUCGUCGCCCGACUCGAUUUUUUCCAACGAUGCAACUGAUGCUACUGCCUUCCCCUUUGCCUUUGCACAUUGGGCGGACGAGUGUGACCGUUGGGUGUCGGUAGUUCACCAUGGAGUCUACCUCAUGCUACUAGUUUGGCCUAACUGAGAAGGAGCAGUUGGUUGCCUCAUGCUGGUUGACCUCUGGUUUCCACUACCACUGCCAUGCUCCAAUUGUGAGUCAGGUCGUCAAUGCCUCAUUGCUUCAUCGACCGUAUACUGAUGUUCCAAUGAUGCACGAAUCCCAGCUGUGAGAUCCGGGUCGACUUGAUCGUCGCAACCCUCAUAUUGAUCAUAAACUGGUUUCUGUGUAGCCCUAUAAUAUUCUUUCUCAACUCUUGCCUUUUUUUUUAAUGUAUCUUCCUUUGCUUGUUUAAGCAUGCUUUGAAAUAAUUUACGGAUCUUCGUUAGAACAUUCUUGCAUUUUGCAAUAUCAGGAUACCCACCAGUCAAAUGCAUUUUCACCCGAGUUAUUCCUUCACCCUUGUCAAUAUAGUCACAAUAAAUACAUUGACAAUGACGACGGUUUCUAUCUAGCUUUUGGGCAUGAACCCAUGCAUCAUCAUGUGGAUAUUCCUUUAGUGCCGUGAUCCUACCAAAUUUAAAUCAAAUAAACUAUAAAGUAUAAACAUAUUAAAUUGACCAAAUAUCAAUCAUAAAUCAUUAAUCACAACAUUAAAUAAUUUUAUUAAAACAUAACUAGUCAUAUUUUAUCAUCAUAAAUAUGUUACAUGCAUAAAAGAAGUAUUAAAAUCAUUAGAUACACUAAUUACACGAUUAACAUAGUUAAUUUUUUACUAAUUACUUCUUUUUCAACACUAUAAACAUGACAAACACCCUAAUAGGUAUUAAAGAUAUUGGAUUGACAAAAAUCGAACAAAUUUCGAUUAAAUCAUCAUUAAAAUGACUAAUCGUAAUAUUAAAUAACUUUAAUAAAACAUAAUUAAACUUAUUUUACCAUCAUAUAUAUGUUAAACACAUAAAAGAAACAUUAAAUAUGUAAUUUUAAUCCAAUAUGAUUCAAAUUAUGAUAAAAUCAUCAUUUAUCUACACUAAUUAUACGAUUAAUAUAGUUAAUUUUUCACUAAUUACUUCUUUUUCAACACUAUAAACAUGAUAAACACCCUAAUAGGUAUUAAAGAUAUUGGAUUGACAUAAAAUUGAACAAAUUUCGAUUAAAUCAUCAUUAAAAUGACUAAUCGUAAUAUUAAAUAACUUUAAUAAAACAUAAUUAAACUUAUUUUACCAUCAUAUAUAUGUUAAACACAUAAAAGAAACAUUAAAUAUGUAAUUUUAAUCCAAUAUGAUUCAAAUUAUGAUAAAAUCAUCAUUUAUCUACACUAAUUAUACGAUUAAUAUAGUUAAUUUUUCACUAAUUACUUCUCUUUCACAAAUAUAAACAUUACAAAUACCCUAAUAGGUAUUAAAGACAUUGAAUUGAUAUAAAAUCGAAUAAAUUUCGAUUAAAUCAUCAUUAAAAUGACUAAUUAUAGCAUUAAAUAACUUUAAUAAAACUUAAUUAAACUUAUUAUACUAUCAUAAAUAUUAUUCAAUAUUUAAUAUGCAUGAAACACACUAAUCAUAAUCUUAAAGAUCUUAAUUACUUUCUAAUUAAAGAAAACGAAUACAUACCUCUUGAUUAGAAAGUUCUUCAUCUUAAUCUUCCCAAAUUAGCCUCGAUUGAAUUCACAAAUCGUUGUUUUAUAGAGUUUAAGAGAGAAAAAAAAAGUGAGAGAGAGUUUAAGAGAUUAUAAUGAAAUAGGGGAGAGUAUAACGAAUACAUAACUGCUACAGUGCGGUAACGGUCGAUUUCGAUCGUUACCGAGUGGUACCGGGCGGUAACGAUCGAAAUUUCGAUCGUUACCGCCCGAUAGUACCCCGUAUCGAAUGAUACCGCCCGAUAGAAUUUCGACCGUUACCGCCCGAUAUUACCCCGUAUCGAAUGAUACCGCCCGAUAGCGGUCGGUCCACGUAUCGGUAGCCUGUCGGACCGGUACGUACCGCCCGUACCGAGUGGUACGAUUCGGUAUGGCAGACCUUGGACACGAGUGAAGUAUGCCUUCCAAGUUAAAUGGCUAGUUUCCACUUGGAAAUGUCUACCUUGUCAUAGUUUAAGCUUGAACUUUUAAAUUCUCCAUGAGAAAAAUUCUAGAUGAUAGUCGGGAGAUAUCGACAUGCAUCUUGUGGCAUCUUAAAGAAUCAUGAAACACCAAAUUACAUUAUUCGUGCUGGCGUUGGUUAUCUUCAGAAAAGAACAUUUUCAUGUAUAGUUUGGAUCUUCUUAGCAAUUACUUUUACAUUUCAUAAACAGUAGCAUGGAUACAAAUCUACCUUAGAACUUCUAAGUUUAAUUUUGGCUAUUUCUGCUUUUUGAUAAAUAAUUGCUUGAUUCUUUCAUUUUCCUUUUGAACUGGAAUUACUCAACUAAACUUGUGUCUGAUAUUCCCUCUUUUAAAACAGAUAUCUUACUUUAGCUAUGGCUUUUUUAUUUCUUGGUUAGUAUUUAGCCUCCAAUGGCAAUUCUUUUAUCUGCUAGGAAUACAUUUAAAGGCGGCUUUCCUGCUGGGAGGCUUGAUGUGUGAAAAUGAUGAAAAAGCAAAAUGGCAAACAUUGAUAACAUUCCAAACAAGUAUGACUUGUUAGCUAUAUUUGAUGAUUGGUAAAUUUAAAGAUCGGUUGACUGAAAAGCCAUAAUGAUAAUAAGAAUAAUAAUAAGUCGUAGAACUUCUGGUGAGGAGCUUGAACAAUAGAGUUUUGCCAUAGUUGGAUGGAUAUGUAUUAUUGAUCUCAGAGCAUCUUUUAGAAAAAUAAAAAAAGGAGACUUUUUCAUUUUAUAUGUUGACUUGUAUGAACUUGCCAUCGGGUUCAUCAAAUGCUUUCACGUCAGGUUGACAAUCAGCAAGGAGACGUUUUCAUCUGCGUCGAAGAUAUAUUUUGCUUUGGAUGUUCAAGGAAUAUGGAACCUGCUGGUCUCCCAUAAAGGUGUUUGAUUGCAACAAAAUAUAGAUAAUGGAUGAACCAUGACAUGGGUUCGUUUGUUUCCUCAUUCUUUGUUUUUAUAUGUUGCCAGUAGUCUCAGAAGGAUGCAAUGGUAUUUUCUUUAAUCAUCAACGCAGAGAGAACCAUGUCAAUCAUGAUACGUUGUCAUAUGAUGCUUAAUUUUUGCUUAAACAACCUGGCUCUUCUAUCUGCUUCACACACAUUAAAUAUGUUGUUGCAGUUCAGAUUCAUGGGUCAGAUAUUAUCUAAAAGAUGACACUUGUGGGGUUCAAUAUCUGUCUCUACUUUAUCCGAAAGAUGCCUACUUUGUGAAUUUGGGAUAUGCUAAUCAAAGGAAGCACGAAACAACAAAAUCAAAAGCAGGCACUAUGCCCACUAUUAUGAAGUUUCUGAAGCUCUCGGUGCCGUUUAACUGUUUUGGUGUUCAAGUAAACUUGUUGAUGUCUGAGAAGAUGUGUGUGUGUAUGUAAUUGUAUAGUCAUUCAUAGUGGGGUGCAGCUGAAUUCUUGUUAGGAAACGCUAAACUCAUUGUUCAUCUCUGAUAACCUAAAUGAAAAGCUUCAUGAGUUGAAUUA